Molecule: non-coding RNA, 853 nt
Organism: Myodes glareolus (Bank vole)
Lineage: Eukaryota; Metazoa; Chordata; Mammalia; Rodentia; Cricetidae
Source: RefSeq, a predicted model, not a curated record
CUUGACUGUGGGAUUGCAGACUCCUUGUGCUCAAGCCCUGGGCUCCUUUGAAGAACGUGAUCCUGAGACUUCAGCACAAUGUCUUCUCAAGAGCAGCAGUGCCAGCAGCCAAGCCAGACUCCUCCUGUGUGUCCACCCACAAAGUCUCCUGAGCCUUCUCGUCCACUGAAGUGCCCACCGGCUUGUCCUCCUCCAAUGUGCCCACAGAUUCAUCGUCCUCCAAAGUGCCCACCUACAUUUCCUCCUCCUCCAGUGUGCACACAGAUUCCUACUCCAAAAUUUCCACCUCAUUAUACUCAUCCAACGUGGCAAUAUCCUUGUAAUCGUCGAAUGUGAACACAGCCUUGUAUCCUCCAAUAUGCCCACAUCCUUAUCCUACUCCAAAGUGCCCACAACCAUGCCCACCUCAGCCAUGACAGUAGACAUGUCCUCCUGUGCAACCUCUUCCACACUGACAGUAGAAGUUCCCACAGAAGAACAUGCGAGUGCUGCAGCAGUCUCCAUGUCCAAGAGAAGAGGAGGACAUCUAUCUUCUCCCACUUCAAUAGAAACACUUCCAUCUUUGCUCAAAGCCUGUCACGGCUGCAGAAGAAUUUUGCUCACCCUUCACCUUCAUGUGUCUGUUAUGACGCCUUCGAGGGUGGGCAAUCUCCUGAGAUUCUUCUCCUUCUGCUGUCAAGUGGUGGCUGAGUUUGUUCCUUCCACACCACCUCAGUGUCCCAGAUUCUCAGUGAUGAGUAGCUGAUUCCACCCUGUGCAAUCAGAGGAUGUUUCCAAAACCAUGAGUUUCCUUGUUUGUAUUGUUGUCUCCGUGACUUAAUUUCCAGAAUAAAGAACAAUAUGGUUGUUAGCA